RNAcentral lists this ribosomal RNA (164 nucleotides) under Quercus oxyphylla. RNAcentral's name for it is "5.8S ribosomal RNA". It matches the Rfam family "5.8S ribosomal RNA". From Rfam's summary of the family: 5.8S ribosomal RNA (5.8S rRNA) is a component of the large subunit of the eukaryotic ribosome. Lineage: Eukaryota; Viridiplantae; Streptophyta; Magnoliopsida; Fagales; Fagaceae. The record is from RNAcentral.
CUCUCGGCAACGGAUAUCUAGGCUCUCGCAUCGAUGAAGAACGUAGCGAAAUGCGAUACUUGGUGUGAAUUGCAGAAUCCCGCGAAUCAUCGAGUUUUUGAACGCAAGUUGCGCCCGAAGCCUUUCGGCCGAGGGCACGUYUGCCUGGGUGUCACGCAUCGUUG